Molecule: ribosomal RNA, 114 nt
Filed under: Meriones unguiculatus (Mongolian gerbil)
Lineage: Eukaryota; Metazoa; Chordata; Mammalia; Rodentia; Muridae
Source: RNAcentral
CUCUAUGGCCAUACCACCCUGAACACACCCAAUCUCGUCUGAUCUCGGAAGCUAAGCAGGGUCAGGCCUGGUCAGUAACUGGACUGAAGAUGGAAGAAGGGAGGUCCGUGUUCC